This 700-nucleotide ribosomal RNA is filed under the name uncultured beta proteobacterium. RNAcentral describes it as "bacterial SSU rRNA". It matches the Rfam family "Bacterial small subunit ribosomal RNA", at positions 80 to 777 of the family's 1533-position model. The record is from RNAcentral. Lineage: Bacteria; Pseudomonadati; Pseudomonadota; Betaproteobacteria.
UCGGAUGCUGACGAGUGGCGAACGGGUGAGUAAUGCAUCGGAACGUGCCCAGUCGUGGGGGAUAACGCAGCGAAAGCUGUGCUAAUACCGCAUACGAUCUAUGGAUGAAAGCGGGGGAUCGCAAGACCUCGCGCGAUUGGAGCGGCCGAUGUCAGAUUAGCUAGUUGGUGGGGUAAAGGCCCACCAAGGCGACGAUCUGUAGCUGGUCUGAGAGGACGACCAGCCACACUGGGACUGAGACACGGCCCAGACUCCUACGGGAGGCAGCAGUGGGGAAUUUUGGACAAUGGGCGCAAGCCUGAUCCAGCGAUGCCGCGUGCAGGAAGAAGGCCUUCGGGUUGUAAACUGCUUUUGUACGGAACGAAAAGGUCUGGGUUAAUACCCUGGGCUCAUGACGGUACCGUAAGAAUAAGCACCGGCUAACUACGUGCCAGCAGCCGCGGUAAUACGUAGGGUGCAAGCGUUAAUCGGAAUUACUGGGCGUAAAGCGUGCGCAGGCGGUUUUGUAAGACAGGCGUGAAAUCCCCGGGCUCAACCUGGGAAUGGCGCUUGUGACUGCAAAGCUGGAGUGCGGCAGAGGGGGAUGGAAUUCCGCGUGUAGCAGUGAAAUGCGUAGAUAUGCGGAGGAACACCAAUGGCGAAGGCAAUCCCCUGGGCCUGCACUGACGCUCAUGCACGAAAGCGUGGGGAGCAAACAGGA